AUUGAACGCUGGCGGCAGGCCUAACACAUGCAAGUCGAGCGGGCGUCGGACGGGUGAGUAAUGUAUGGGGUCUGCCCCUUCCAGGGGGAUAACUAUUGUAAUUGGUGGCUUAUACCGCAUCCUGUCGGCUAUGCCAUAUGGGAUUGGCUUGUAGGUAGGUUAAUGGCUUACCUAGGCGACGAUCCCUUGCUGGUCUGAGAGGAUGAGCGGCAACACUGGGACUGAGACAGGGCCCAGACUCCUACGGAGGCAGCAGUGGGGAAUAGUGCACAAUGGGCGCAAGCCUGAUGCAGCCAUGCCGCGUGUAUGAAGAAGGCCCUAGGGUUGUAAAGUACUUUCAGUCGGGAGGCGUUACCGACAGAAGAAGCACCGGCUAACUCCGUGCCAGCAGCCGCGGUAAUAC
Molecule: ribosomal RNA, 403 nt
Filed under: uncultured bacterium
Lineage: Bacteria
Description: partial 16S ribosomal RNA
Rfam family: Bacterial small subunit ribosomal RNA
Source: RNAcentral